CAACUCAAAUUCAAUCACAAUUUGAACCGAUAACUAAAUAUAAUAAGUAAGUGGACUACAAGUGAAAAACAAACUUUGAAAAUCAUUUUUAAUGGAAAACUCUUGGCUUUGAAAAAAAAAAAAAUUUAGUCAUAACUUAAUCUCAAAUACAUCUAAACAGAUCACAUUCUAUACAAGCAUAAGUUGAGUGUAAACAUAUUAAUACAAACAAGUAACUUUCAGCUGCGUCGCUUGUGAAUUGGUAACAACUUUGAAUAAAUCCACAAAAAUGGAUAAGCACGGAAGAACAAAAGAAAAAUGGUGAAGAGAUGAUUGAACUUACGAAAUAAAACUACAACACAUUUUGAUAGAGUUGUGCUAGAUGAUACCAAGACCAGAAAAAAGAUGAUUGCGUGAGGCCUUUAUGUGAAAGAAAAGCGACAAAUCUGUGUUACUACUUACUAGGAAUUGGGGGUAUUAACAUAUAAAACAAGAAGAUAAAAAGGGACGUAAGGGUCAAAUACUCGGGUGUAGAACAAGGGGCAAUUAAAUGAUACUUUUCCAAGGGUCAAAUACAGAAUAUUUUUUUUGAAGAAGCUAAAAUGAAAUUUAUUUAAAACACUAAGAAUCAUAGCAUGCACAAGAAAUGCUAGGCUAGGAGACUUAAAAAGCAACAUACAAAGGAAAAGUGUGCCUUAUAUAUGCGGAACACCCAUGUACAAAUGCAAACUUCUACAAACAAAUCAAAAACACCCUCCACUGAGGGCCCUCGAAAGCAAUAAAAACUAAACACCAAACCAAGAAGUCAUCACCAAAAACCAAAGUCUAAACGCCUUAAACAAGCCACACCGUCUAACAUCCAUGUAUUUGAAAACCUCAUCAACAACAAACUCAUAGAAGAAAACCUUCAAAAAGCAUAAUCACCACUAGCCACCACAAGCACCACCACCAACCCCAAACCUACUAUUAACCACCAAGAAAACCACCAUUAAUCCUCACCAAAAACCAGCACCAGCCACCACGAGCAUCACCACCAAAAAACAACAUCAGCCACCACGAGCAUCACCACCAAAAACCACCACGAGCACCACCACAAAAGACCAAGUAUCAGCACCACCAUGAAAACCACCACGAAACACCACAAUCCAACAUAACAAAAAAACAACGUACGAGCUUCUCAACAUCAUCACCACAAACAAAACUCACCGCCACAUAAAAAUAAAAUAAAAAUUAAUCUUAACACUUAUAAGUAACAAGACACUACCUUCCCCAUAAUACAACAUCAUAGGUACUAAAAGAGUGCUAGCAACCAAAAGUGCCAAAACAAAAGGUAACCUACACAUAACAAGACCCUCUGCCACACAUUGCUCCACCUAACAUGUUUUCCCUUAGACCUCUAAUUUCGUAAGUCCAUGCCUACAACCACAUUCAAGUAAUAUGGCUUAAACUCAACACUAACCCACACCUAAAAUUAUGCAGAAGCGGUAUGUCAAAAACCAUAGCAGCAUCAAAUUGAACAACCAUUAAAUAAGCUUUACACAUUGAAUACACCAACAGAACACAAACAUGACAAAUUAAGACCAUCAUGCACUCCCUAAACCAAUGAAAGGCAAACCUGCCACAAAAACGCAGCAACACCACAAAAACUACGUUGAGAACCACCACAAAAAACUAGCAGUACCACCACCACAAAAUCCCUCCGAAAACCAUCACAAACCACCAAAAAAAACGUAGCAAACUAACACCACCAUGAACGCGAGCGAUGGAGAAAACAACCACUGAGAGAAACCAGUGGCCGAGUGAUGCGGACGGCUUAAGCCAAUCAUCGCAUCACCAACGAUUGAAUCUACAUCGCGGCGGAUAUAGGCUGGAUUGGAAGGAAGGAGGGUGACGGUGGAGAUCUAGAGAGAGGUCAGAGAUGUUUUUCCAAAGAGAAAUUUAGGAUUUGCGUUUUUACAAAAGUUGAUUUUUAUAUAUUAAUAUACAGAAUAUAACUGUACUAUCUCUCAGAAGGAAUAUUCUCUUGCUAGAAAACAAUAAAAUGCCACCAUAUCACCUCCCUAAAAAUUAUAGUACUAUGACAUUGCUAUUAAUAUACAUAAUAUAAUUGUACAAUCUCUCAAAAGGAAUAUUCUCUUUCUAAAAAACAAUAAUUUUAGUCUUUAAA
Molecule: long non-coding RNA, 2146 nt
Filed under: Medicago truncatula (barrel medic)
Lineage: Eukaryota; Viridiplantae; Streptophyta; Magnoliopsida; Fabales; Fabaceae
Description: long non-coding RNA (MTRU_LNC001412)
Source: RNAcentral